UUGAAUAAACUUGGUUGGGUUGUUGCUGGCUCCUUGGAGCAUGUGCACGCCUAGCACCAUUUUUAACCACCUGUGCACCUUUUGUAGACCUGGAUACCUCUCGAGGAAACUCGGUUUGAGGACUGCUGUGCGAAAGUCAGCUUUCCUUGCGUUUCCGGUCUAUGUUUUUACAUACCCCAUAUGAAUGUAUCAGAAUGUUAUUAACUGGCCUUUGUGCCUUUAAUCAAAUA
This 230-nucleotide unclassified non-coding RNA is filed under the name uncultured Lyophyllum. RNAcentral's name for it is "sequence contains ITS1". Lineage: Eukaryota; Fungi; Basidiomycota; Agaricomycetes; Agaricales; Lyophyllaceae. The record is from RNAcentral.